UACGUAGGGUGCAAGCGUUGUCCGGAAUUACUGGGCGUAAAGAGUUCGUAGGCGGUUUGUCGCGUCGUUUGUGAAAACCAGCAGCUCAACUGCUGGCUUGCAGGCGAUACGGGCAGACUUGAGUACUGCAGGGGAGACUGGAAUUCCUGGUGUAGCGGUGAAAUGCGCAGAUAUCAGGAGGAACACCGGUGGCGAAGGCGGGUCUCUGGGCAGUAACUGACGCUGAGGAACGAAAGCGUGGGUAG
This 245-nucleotide ribosomal RNA is filed under the name uncultured Rhodococcus sp. RNAcentral's name for it is "partial 16S ribosomal RNA". It matches the Rfam family "Bacterial small subunit ribosomal RNA", at positions 524 to 768 of the family's 1533-position model. Lineage: Bacteria; Bacillati; Actinomycetota; Actinomycetes; Mycobacteriales; Nocardiaceae. The record is from RNAcentral.